Molecule: transfer RNA, 67 nt
Filed under: Nautilus pompilius
Lineage: Eukaryota; Metazoa; Mollusca; Cephalopoda; Nautilida; Nautilidae
Description: tRNA-Met
Source: RNAcentral
AGUAAGGUAAGCUAAUGUAAGCUAGUGGGUUCAUACCCCAAAAAUAAUUUGUUUCAAUUUCUUGCUA